AUAAUAAGAAGAAAUAAUUACAUCCUAUUACUAAUAGGAUGAGAAGGAGUAGGAAUCUGCUCUUACUUACUA
RNAcentral lists this transfer RNA (72 nucleotides) under Oopsacas minuta. Its description in RNAcentral is "tRNA-Thr". Lineage: Eukaryota; Metazoa; Porifera; Hexactinellida; Lyssacinosida; Leucopsacidae. The record is from RNAcentral.